RNAcentral lists this long non-coding RNA (472 nucleotides) under Linum usitatissimum (flax). Its description in RNAcentral is "long non-coding RNA (LUSI_LNC007669)". The record is from RNAcentral. Lineage: Eukaryota; Viridiplantae; Streptophyta; Magnoliopsida; Malpighiales; Linaceae.
UGCUUCCCCAUUCUAUGUGAAGCAUAAAGCUACCAUGAGUUUCCUCACUGGUUUUGCUCAGGUGGUUGUUGUUGCUUACAAGAACAGGACACUCCCUUUCCCUAGUACUGGAACUGGAUCCUAUCAUUGCGGCAAAGGCUCCACCUUUAUUGCUCCUACCAAGAAACUAAGGUACCACCAUUCACAACUUUAUUCAAACUUAAACCAUUUGUUCAAUGUCACACAUGUUUACUCAAGAGCUAGCUUGGAUGUUUACUGUCAUGAAAAGUUCAGAUUGGUGUUUUAUAUUAUAACAUGCCAAGAAACUAAGGUACCACCUUUAUUGCUCCUACCAAGAAACUAAGGUACCACCAUUCACAACUUUAUUCAAACUUAAACCAUUUGUUCAAUGUCACACAUGUUUACUCAAGAGCUAGCUUGGAUGUUUACUGUCAUGAAAAGUUCAGAUUGGUGUUUUAUAUUAUAACAUGCC